RNAcentral lists this ribosomal RNA (496 nucleotides) under uncultured bacterium. Its description in RNAcentral is "partial 16S ribosomal RNA". It matches the Rfam family "Bacterial small subunit ribosomal RNA", at positions 28 to 506 of the family's 1533-position model. The record is from RNAcentral.
GAUGAACGCUGGCGGCGUGCCUAAUACAUGCAAGUCGAGCGAACAGACGAGGAGCUUGCUCCUCUGACGUUAGCGGCGGACGGGUGAGUAACACGUGGAUAACCUACCUAUAAGACUGGGAUAACUUCGGGAAACCGGAGCUAAUACCGGAUAAUAUAUUGAACCGCAUGGUUCAAUAGUGAAAGACGGUUUUGCUGUCACUUAUAGAUGGAUCCGCGCCGCAUUAGCUAGUUGGUAAGGUAACGGCUUACCAAGGCAACGAUGCGUAGCCGACCUGAGAGGGUGAUCGGCCACACUGGAACUGAGACACGGUCCAGACUCCUACGGGAGGCAGCAGAAGGGAAUCUUCCGCAAUGGGCGAAAGCCUGACGGAGCAACGCCGCGUGAGUGAUGAAGGUCUUCGGAUCGUAAAACUCUGUUAUUAGGGAAGAACAAAUGUGUAAGUAACUAUGCACGUCUUGACGGUACCUAAUCAGAAAGCCACGGCUAACUACGU